RNAcentral lists this ribosomal RNA (253 nucleotides) under uncultured bacterium. RNAcentral's name for it is "partial 16S ribosomal RNA". It matches the Rfam family "Bacterial small subunit ribosomal RNA", at positions 524 to 776 of the family's 1533-position model. The record is from RNAcentral.
UACGGAGGGUGCAAACGUUGCUCGGAAUCAUUGGGCGUAAAGCGCACGUAGGCGGACCGCUAAGUCGGAUGUGAAAGCCCUCGGCUUAACCGAGGAAGUGCAUUCGAAACUGACAGUCUUGAGUAUGGAAGAGGGUCGCGGAAUUCCCGGUGUAGAGGUGAAAUUCGUAGAUAUUCGGAAGAACACCAGUGGCGAAGGCGACUCACUGGACACAUAUUGACGCUGAGGUGCGAAAGCGUGGGGAGCAAACAGG